RNAcentral lists this ribosomal RNA (502 nucleotides) under uncultured bacterium. Its description in RNAcentral is "partial 16S ribosomal RNA". It matches the Rfam family "Bacterial small subunit ribosomal RNA", at positions 28 to 507 of the family's 1533-position model. The record is from RNAcentral.
GACGAACGCUGGCGGCGUGCUUAACACAUGCAAGUCGAACGGUGAAGGGGUCUGCUUUUGUGGGCCCUGGAUGAGUGGCGAACGGGUGAGUAACACGUGAGUAACCUGCCCCCUUCUUCUGGAUAACCGCAUGAAAGUGUGGCUAAUACGGGAUAUUCUGGGUCUGUCGCAUGAUGGGUCUGGGAAAGAUUGCGCCUUUGGGUGUUUUUGGUGGGGGAUGGGCUCGCGGCCUAUCCGCUUGUUGGUGGGGUGAUGGCCUACCAAGGCGGUGACGGGUAGCCGGGCUGAGAGGGUGGAAGGUCAGACUGGGAACGAGACACGGACCAGACUGCUACGGGAGGCAGCAGUGGGGAAGAUUGCACAAUGGGCGCAAGCCUGAUGCAGCGACGCCGCGUGAGGGAUGGAGGCCGUCGGGUUGUAAACCUCUUUCGCCAGUGAAGCAGGCCUGCUCCUUGUGGGUGGGUUGACGGUAGCUGGAUAAGAAGCGCCGGCUAACUACGUG